GCAAGUUGAGCUUGCGGGUUCGACGAUUCCUACGGGAGGCAGCAGCGGGGAAUAUUGGACAAUGGGCGAAAGCCUGAUCCAGCAACGCCGCGUGAGUGAUGAAGGUCUUCGGAUCGUAAAGCUCUGUCGGGAGGAACGAUGCACUCACUAGACAAUACCUAGUGAGUCUGACGGUACCUCUAAAGGAAGCACCGGCUAACUCUGUGCCAGCAGCCGCGGUAAGACAGAGGGUGCAAGCGUUGUUCGGAUUCAUUGGGCGUAAAGGGCGCGUAGGCGGCCUCGCAAGUCGGAUGUGAAAGCCCAGGGCUCAACCCUGGAAGUGCAUCCGAAACUGCGUGGCUUGAGUGUCGGAGAGGGUGGUGGAAUUCCUGGUGUAGAGGUGAAAUUCGUAGAUAUCAGGAGGAACACCCGUGGCGAAGGCGACCACCUGGACGAACACUGACGCUGAGGCGCGAAAGCGUGGGGAGCAAACAGGAUUAGAUACCCUGGUAGUCCACGCCGUAAACGAUGGGUACUAGGUGUUGCGGGUAUUGACCCCUGCAGUGCCGACGCUAACGCAUUAAGUACCCCGCCUGGGGAGUACGGCCGCAAAGGCUAAAACUCAAAUGAAUUGACGG
Molecule: ribosomal RNA, 617 nt
Filed under: uncultured Sorangiineae bacterium
Lineage: Bacteria; Pseudomonadati; Myxococcota; Myxococcia; Myxococcales
Description: bacterial SSU rRNA
Rfam family: Bacterial small subunit ribosomal RNA
Source: RNAcentral